This is a long non-coding RNA of Felis catus (domestic cat), 6068 nucleotides long. RefSeq lists it as uncharacterized. The record is from RefSeq and is a predicted model, not a curated record. Lineage: Eukaryota; Metazoa; Chordata; Mammalia; Carnivora; Felidae. The transcript has 2 exons.
CUUACUGACUGAGUCACCCAGGUGGCCUUUUCAUAUUUAUUUCAAAUAUUUUUCCAUUUUGUCAUUUGCCUUUUGAUUACUUUCUUUAUAUACUUGUUUUACUAACAAAAGUUUAAAUGUAUGUGAUAAGCAUAAUCAUCUUUCCUCUAUGAUUUUUCCCAUUGCUUUUAUGCUUAGAAAUUCUUCCCUAGAUCAGAUAUUCCCACUAUUUUCUUUUGGAAUUAUUUGUUUGUUUACUAUUUGGCUUUUUCAUCCAAAGGUCCUGUCACCUGUUUUUGCAAAUAAAGUUUUAUUGGCAUAGCCAUACUUAUUUGUUCAUGAUGCUGUCACACUGGCAUGGUUGAAUAGUUGUGACAGAAACCUGUAAUAUUUAGUAGCUGGUCGUUUAUAGUUUGCCAACUCCUGCUUUGUUGCUUCACAGUUUAUUUGGAUAUAUAAUUUAGUUGAGGCCCUAAUUUGAUUCCCUCCUUGUCCCCAACACUCAUUUCCCCUAAUCUUGUUUGUUGAAUUCAUUCAUUCCUUACUCACUGACUUGUGAUACUGCCUUUAUUAUAUUUUAUGUUCUUCUAUAUACUAGCCUUUAUUUUGGUACCAUUCUGUGUCCAUUACAGAGGCAAAAUUCUUCUCCAGCUGUCAGUUCAAUUGCAAUUUAGUAAAAAUAAAACAAAUUUAGAGAGAGAAACAUAAACUACAUUUUUAAGAUAGAAUAUGUAGACUGUCCUCCAUAAGUUGCUGAAUGAGAGUCUUAUAAAGCAUAUAUUGGUAAAGAUUCAGAGUUAAGGGUUAAGGUUUGAGUGUAGAGUUAAGUAUAUUUGUAAAUUUGUUUCCUUGUGAAAUAGCCUGUUCAUAAAGCAGAUCAAGCUUGUCUUUGUAAGGACUCUCUGGUGCAUUCUGAUGAAGGAAAAAUUCCAGUCUGGCAGCUGCAUCCUCAAGUAACCUUGAUUUGAAUCUACAUAUUUUCUAUAUCCGCUCUUUGCUAACAAAAGGAGUCCCAGCAAAAUAUAAGCAGGGGUACUCCUAGAGUUUCCAAACCCAGUGUAUUCAUGUCUACGGGAAAUACAUCUGUAUCUUAAUAGAUGGAGAGUAAAUUCUAGCCUUUCUGUUACAUGAGGCUAGUUUUCCUCCUUACCCUCAUUUUACAUGUGUGUAAGGUUUGGAUAUGUGUAUGUUUGUGUGUGAUGUAUGUGUGGCUGUGUAUUUGUGUAAGUGUGUGUGUGUGUUUUAUUGUUAUCUCAGUCCUGGAAUGUUGGAUAAAGGAGUACUUUACAUUUUCUCCAAUGUCAGUGAACAAUCAGAGGCUUUAUCUUAGGAUGCAUUUCAAUAAACAUCUGUUUCUCUGCCAAGGAAAAACCCGUGUCCUGGGGACUGAGGUAGAUGUGACCUGUAAACCCAAGCAGAGCGACUACAUGGAGCUGGUUGCCCGCUGUAUUCAUUGGAUGCCUGCUAAUACAGUUUGUGCUGUCAGAGAGCCGGUAGGCGCUCCUAAGUGGGAUGCAAGCUGUGACGGGGUAAGUUACGUGUAAUUACCAUGAGAGUAUCUAUGAGGCGCUCCUAGUUCACCUUCGGAGCAGAGUCAGGGAAUGUUCCUGGUGGAGGUGAUGUCUAACUUGAGUCUUGAAGGAAGAGAAGAAUGUACCAGGUGAAGGGGUAGGUGAGGGGCAUUUCUCCCUCCCAGGGAGGGAGAGCUGAGACCUCCUUGGAGCUGCUAGUAAUUCCACAAGGCUGGAGGGAGCUUAUGGAGCUGGACAACUGUGGGAGUACAUUGGCGGCCAGUGGGCUGGAGAGGUAAGCAGGGAAGUAACCAGAUCCCGGUGGGUCUUUUGGAACUGUAUUCCAGUAUUGGAGGGGAGCCAUUUACUGAAGAUUUUAGACAAGGCAACUCAUGGUCAGACUGAUGUUUUAGCAAAAUCACUCAGACUGCAGAGUGAAUGAUGGAUUGUUGAAAGGGAGGUCUGAAGGUGGAGGCACUAAGGAGGGGGUCCUUGCAACAGAGUGACAGGUGAUGUUGGCCUCAUUAAAGUAGAUGGGAGUGGAGAUGGAGAGAAGUACCUGGAUGUAAGAGACAGUUAAGUCCAGAAGAGAGAGGGGAAGGAGUCAAGAGUGUUCAGAUGUUUGAAGUGCGUACCUCCAGGGCAUCUGCUGAAGGAAUGGGACAGAGGGGGUUGGGAUGGAGGGGAGGAUUUUGGUUUGGGGCAUCCCUAGUUUGAGGUUAGGAGACAUCCGUAGAUCAGUGUGUCGUGACCAUUGAGGCUGCAGGUAGAGCUGUGGGUUCUAGCAUGGGAAUGGGUGCGCUGUCCUGGCUACAGUGCCCUGGGAAGUGCAAAGGAAAAGGAGCUGGAAUCGCUCUCUGGAGUUGAGUGGUCAGGGGGGUAGAGGAUAGCCUGGUUUGCAUUUGGAAAUGGAAGUAUAGCCGGCUAAAUACUCAGAGCUUGAAGAACUUUGCCUGUGUGUGUUUGUGCAUGUGCCUCUUGCUUCCAGUGCCCUGACAGCGUCAUCUUUAUUAUUCACAGAAACAUUUAGGAAAUGUGUGCACAGUGUCCUUCUCAGCACAACAGACUUUCACGUUAAGUAUCCUCUCUGUUCUUUGGAAGGGGCUUAUAUAGUGGGGUGGGGGAAACAGUGGGUCACUGAAGAAAGCCACCCCUCUCCACCUCCUCCCUACCCUCUCCUCCAUCAGACUAGCUGACACUUACUGAGUAUUCGCUAAUUAUCAUGUGCUGUUCUAAGCUCUUUAUGUCCAUUUACUUAUUUAAUUCUUAGGACAACCUGAUGAGGUAGAUACUCUUGUUACCUUUACUUUAUAGAUUGGGAAAUGGAGGAACCCAAAUAAAGUAAAUAUUGUCUACAGCCACAUAGUGAGUAGGACAGCUGGGAUUCAAACCAGCGAUUUAGUUCCAGAGCCCUGUGUUCCUAACCAUGGUACCCUGAAGUCCUGUCUUUCAGUACAGCAGACACAAGUAUUAAGGUGAAAUCACGAUGGGAUGUGGAAAAGCACUCAGAAAUGAAUGAACCCCACAACAAUGGAAGAAUGGAGAAAAGAUGAGACAAAGAUGAACAGGGAGCCCCAUCUAGCUUGGGAGACAAAAGCAAACAUUAGUAGAAAAAAGGGCUGGAUCCACAAGAAAUCAAAGGGUAAUCUGAACCAGUGACCAGGGGCAAUCGGUCAAGAAGGAUUGAAGAGAAGGUGGCAUCUGAGCUGGGUGUGAAGGAUGAACACAAACCCUGAAGGGGUUAGGGUGUAGGCAUGGCUGGGGGGACUCUGUGUUGAUCAGAAGGGAAAGGUGAGUUCAGAGGUGUGCAGGGGAGGGAGGGAAGCUCAGAGCUGCGUGUGAAGUGAGGUGGUCAGUUCCUGAAGAGCUGCCUCAUGUGCCCAGCACCCUGUGUUCCAGUCCGGAAGCUUGUGGAGCCACUGUAAGGUAUUUUAGACCAUCCUUCUUAUGGCAGAGUGGGGUCAGGGGCAGAAAGGAAGAGACUGGAGGCAGGGGGACCAGGGGUGAAAGCUCUGAACCCCCAAGCAAACCCUCUGAUUGAGGGGAUGGGGGGAAAGGGUCAGACUGCAGCGGUUUUUUAUGGAGCUAGAAUUUGCUCAACGCUGCACACUGGAAGUAGGCGAGAGAGUGGGAAUAACAACACCCGGUCUCCUGACUUGGGAGGUGGUGAUGCCAUUAAUCAAAUGCAGGCACCGCAGGGGUGGGGCAGAGUGGGCCUCCGUGCAGCUGGUGAGAGCAGAGAGGGGAGAUCAGGACUUCACUCCUGGUCUUGGUGAGUUCCAAUGCCUGAGAAACCUUCAGGUCAGGGACAGAUCCAGCUUCUGGAGGGCCCUGGAGCAUUUACAAUUUCGAGCCCCUCUUUAAGAAAACUACUAGAAAAUUGCAAAUACCAAGGGGCGCCUGGGUGGCUCAGUCAGUUACACAUCUGACUCGAUUUCAGCUCAGGUCAUUUCUCAUGGAGAAAUUGUGAGAUGGAGCCCCGAAUGGGGCUCAGCGCUGGGCGUGGAGCCUGCUUAAGAUUCUCUCUCCCCCUUCCUUCUCCUCAAAAAAAAAAGGAAAGAAAAUUAUAAAUACCAGGUUAGAUGCAAGACCUUGGGCGGGGCCCCUUCGAGGGGGGUCCUGGAGCUUAAGCCUGCUCCUGCUUCAUGGUAGAUGUCUGAGGCUCCCUGUCUCCUUCCCUGUCUACAUCUUCCUGGAGGUCCAGAUGUCCCCAGACUCUUCUCUCUGAGCCAAAGGCUGGUUGUCAUCCUGUUAAGACUGUUAGAGCUAAUUAAAGUUAAUCCAGGGGUUACCUUAAUGUGGUGUUCAUGCUUUCAGACUUUUCUGCAGAAAAGAUACCCUGCUUCCACUGCCUUCUUAACACACAAGAGAAACAGAAAAAAAAAAAAAAAAGCUACAAAGGGCUUUCGUGGGGUGAGGGGUUUGGUAUAUUAGCCCUCUCCGUGACCAAAAGAGGAUAACAAUAUGAAAGUAUAUUCUACUUGGAUUAUCAACAGGAAAUGGUAGCCAUGUAGACAAUGAACUAUUUUUUUUUUAAUAUUUUAAGGUUUAUUUAUUUUUGAGAGAGAGACAGCAGGAGUGGUGGAGGGGCAGAGAGAGAGAGGGAGAGAGAGAAUCCCAAGCGGGCUCUGCAUUGUCAGCUCAGAGCCCGACUUGGUCUCGAACCCACAAAACCGUGAAAUCAUGACCUGAGCUGAAACCAAGAGUUGGACCCUCAGCUGACUGAGCCAGCCAGGCGCCCCUAGACAACGAACUGCUAACACUUCCAGCUUUUCCUGUGAAGAAAGAGUUUCAGGGAGCUGUUUUACCUAUAGCCUCUUACCAAGAAUGAAACCUUUUCAACCAAGUUUAUGUGGUUUCCUAAUAGGGAUUAAAAGUGGUUUUAUAAUAGCCGGGAAAUGUAAGGCAAAAGACAGCACGUUUAGAUAAUUCUCCCGAUACAACUUACAAAAUGAGUUUUGUAGCAGGAAGAUGGGCGUGGAGAACAGGACCCUAGAAUCAUUGUUUAGUCUGUGUCUUUGAUCAUUCUGGCUGGAAAGCCUCUCCUUGCAGGGAGGUGGUUGCCGACACUGCCAAGGACAAGGUUAUAUUUGGGCAAAAUGUUGUCCUCCCUCCUCCUCCUGCGCUUGGCCGUGGAACCCCUACUAAAGUCCUCAUCCUCAGUGCGGCCACCAGCCCACCCCUAAGCCUCAGUGUUCCAGAAUUCCACCCCCACUUCCUUUUUCUGUCAGUCUCUGCCUGUGAAUGAUCUCAGCUAGAUGUUGGGCUCUUAUCUGAUUAAAACACUCACACAUGGUAUAAAUAGCUAACAAUUCUAUCUCCCAAAGGGUAUUUGCAUUUUAGAGGGGAGUUUGCUAACUAAGGGUAGUGCUGGAGGUGAUGAUGAAGGAUUUGGGAGCAGCCUGUUAUUUAUUUCCAAACUGUGGAGUGAAUGGGGUUUGGAUGCCCCUGAGUCUCCGAGUUUGGGUUUGGGUUUUGAUCAUAGAAGGAGAAUAUUUUUUACCUCAUUUUUCUUCUUUUCCAAGAAGGCGAGUUUUCUGGGUAUGGUUAUCUAGAGCAAAUUUCAGAUGUUUAAUUAGGGAGGGCAUGAGAUUUUUGGCAGGGGACCCUCUCUGCUGUGACUUGCCACCUGCAGGCCACCCAGUUCCUCUCCUAAGCUCCCAGAAAGAUGAGCUUGGGAACCCAGCACCUGGCUUUGGAAAGACAGCUCCUGCUCUUGUGAACUGAAAAUAUCUGCAAUCUGCAACUGCAUCAAGGGCCUCAAAUGCUGGGGCCUUGUAAAGAGAGAGCAUGAAGAUGUUACUUUCCCAUUAAAUGCAUGGCCUGCUCGUGCUCUGAGUCUGUGUUUAGAACUGAGUGCUGCAUCUUAAGAAGGACGCAUCAGGGCAGGAGAAAAUCCAGAGAGGGGCUAUUAAAAGGACCAGUGCGCAUUUAUAGCAAAGUUGGUAGGUAGGAGCCCCUUCUAUGUGUGUUCUCUCCCAGAGUCUUAAGUCAGACCAGAUCAUCCUACUUUUAUAACUCUGGCUGGGGGGUCGGGUGGGAUGAGGACUGAAAAGAGGCAGAGCCCUGAACGUUUUA